Long non-coding RNA from Lolium rigidum, 204 nucleotides. RefSeq lists it as uncharacterized. The record is from RefSeq and is a predicted model, not a curated record. NCBI's taxonomy places the organism in Eukaryota, Viridiplantae, Streptophyta, Magnoliopsida, Poales, Poaceae. The transcript is spliced from 3 exons.
CCCCCUUGCAUCACCGUGUGUCAUUAAAGCGAGAAGUUGAUUACUUAGUAUGAAGGUGUUUAUUUCAAGAUAAUCUUGGUGUGAUCAUGAAACCGAGAAGUUGAUUCAAUGCAGAUAUGGUGGUCGUAGAUGGACAAGCCUGGUGGAGUGCCAGUGAGAAGCAACGUCUUAGAAAGAGACGUUUGAGAAGCAUGUGGUUACUCA